UGUUUUAUGAGUUCUUCUCUCUGCCACAAACUUUUUUGUGGUCUAUAAUGGAAUGAUCCACUUCUUUCAAAGAAGGGACCUCUAUUUAUAUAUUUUCAAAAUUAGAUUUUCAUUCGGCAAAUGUUGCUCGCCUAGCGAAUCUGAGCUUUCUUUAAAUGGAGGAAAGUGAUAGCUCAUCCUCAAGGUCACUAAACUAUCUUACAUUGAUGGAAAAAUAGAUGAUCGCCCAACAAAUUUUCUCUUGUAUUUUCCGUCAAAACUCUCUGGAAUCCUUCGCUUUUAGCUUGCUCAUCUUAACUAGCAAAAGUACUUUGGAUCAUAAUCCUGGAUCUUUAUCCUUCUUGGUCAUUAAUCUCAAAAAUCUACAACAUAUGAAAGGAAAUAGUUCAAGGUAGCUUAAUUAGCAUAAAACUAUGUAUUUAUAUGAAAUUGGAGAUUUUCCUAUAUUACUUGCAAAAUAAGUUAUUAAACGCUUUAAUUAAAUAGGUCAAAUAACCAAAAUUUGGGAUAUAUACCAACUCUCUCCAACUUAGAAAUUUCUUUUGUCCUCAAACAAAAAUCCUCAAAAAAAUUUCAAAAAGUAAAUCAACAAUGAUGCAUAUUAAAGUUUGGCUUAAAUGCACUUUUAGUAACCCCCUAACUUUGUCCCUUUUUCAAGUAGUCAAUUUUGACUCGUGCGUGAUUAUAGUUGAACUAUGCAUGAUUCUACUAACUUUACCCCCUUUUACAAGUAGCCAAUCAUUUUGAAUCUUUGCACCAUGCAUGAUUCCACUAAAUUGCACAACUAAGACAAAUGUGCACAACCCUCCUAAGAUCAAAACAUGAAUAUGAGAAUGACUCGGAUUUAAGAAAAUCAUAAAUUACAGCGGGGUGUCUACAAAACAAACUAUGAAACUAGCAAUGCUCAACAACUCUAAAAAGGAAUCAAAGAAUCAAAAGUCAAACACAUCGACCACGAACAGAAACUCAACCGCAACAACUCUAGCACUGCCGUCGGCAGAUCCUGGAGCCAUAACCAUCAAGAACCCAUCCAGAUAUCUAAGAAAACCGAAAUUUUUGAAAUAUCUACCGUUAAAUAGAUCUGUGCAUACGACAUCCAACUUCUACCACUGUGAAGUAUGUGUAAAUGACCCUUGUAUGGACCACCGCCAUGAUAAAAGGCGGAGGUUGUUGAUGCUCACCCAAACAGAGGUUGCUGCGAACAGCCCAAACCAAUGGAGCUUUGGAGGACGUCAGGAGGAUGGAGACACCGCGAACUAGAACAACCUCAACCAAAAUAACCGAUGUCGAAAACGCCGACAAAUCUAGGAUGUGGGUGGUGCGGAAAAAGAAUUGAUUCUUUUUAAAUACAUAUAUUGCUUAUCGAAUAACGUUAGCAAUUCUCGUAGCAAUUGCAUGUGCAAAACGUAGUUGUAUAACUUGUUUUAUCAUCUAUUAAAAAGAAAUUUUAAAUGAAAUAUAUUUAUUAUAAUGAUUUAAUAAACGAUUUUUCAUCUCAAAAGCUCAAAAAAUAAAAUUUAAAUAAUAUAUUUUUCCAAAAACAAACUAAUUUGAAAAGGACCCAAUUCUUAUAAUUUGCUUUAGACCUUUUUUUUUUUUUUUGAGCAAAAUUUGCUUUAGACCUUAUUGGUUGAGACGGUCCAUAUGUAUAAUUAAUUUGGUUAAAUAAAUUAUAAUUUAUUGUUUAAAUACUUCUAUUUUCAAUAUUAAUCAAAGUUAAAUGAAUUGCAACCAAAGUUGUUUGGGCUCCAGUGGCAAUGAGCUCCUUCCAAGGACGUACCGGGGGAAUAUCGGGUCCGAUUCCCAGGAGGAACAACGCUUGGUCAGUGCACAUGCCUCUACGCAUGAGCCGAAUUAGUCGUCUACUUUUGAUGGAUCGGAAACCGAUACGAAAGCAAAAAAAAAAAAAGUUAGAUGAAUUGCACCCCCAACUCAGGCUCCUAGAUCCACCAUUGUAUACAAACAUCAUCACACGAAUGCGGUUUCGUUUUUUAC
RNAcentral lists this long non-coding RNA (1995 nucleotides) under Medicago truncatula (barrel medic). RNAcentral describes it as "long non-coding RNA (MTRU_LNC006883)". The record is from RNAcentral. Lineage: Eukaryota; Viridiplantae; Streptophyta; Magnoliopsida; Fabales; Fabaceae.